Molecule: ribosomal RNA, 1372 nt
Filed under: uncultured bacterium
Lineage: Bacteria
Description: bacterial SSU rRNA
Rfam family: Bacterial small subunit ribosomal RNA
Source: RNAcentral
GAUGAACGCUGGCGGUGUGCCUAAUACAUGCAAGUCGAGCGAACGGACGAGAAGCUUGCUUUUCUGAUGUUAGCGGCGGACGGGUGAGUAACACGUGGAUAACCUACCUAUAAGACUGGGAUAACUUCGGGAAACCGGAGCUAAUACCGGAUAAUAUUUUGAACCGCAUGGUUCAAAAGUGAAAGACGGUCUUGCUGUCACUUAUAGAUGGAUCCGCGCUGCAUUAGCUAGUUGGUAAGGUAACGGCUUACCAAGGCAACGAUGCAUAGCCGACCUGAGAGGGUGAUCGGCCACACUGGAACUGAGACACGGUCCAGACUCCUACGGGAGGCAGCAGUAGGGAAUCUUCCGCAAUGGGCGAAAGCCUGACGGAGCAACGCCGCGUGAGUGAUGAAGGUCUUCGGAUCGUAAAACUCUGUUAUUAGGGAAGAACAUAUGUGUAAGUAACUGUGCACAUCUUGACGGUACCUAAUCAGAAAGCCACGGCUAACUACGUGCCAGCAGCCGCGGUAAUACGUAGGUGGCAAGCGUUAUCCGGAAUUAUUGGGCGUAAAGCGCGCGUAGGCGGUUUUUUAAGUCUGAUGUGAAAGCCCACGGCUCAACCGUGGAGGGUCAUUGGAAACUGGAAAACUUGAGUGCAGAAGAGGAAAGUGGAAUUCCAUGUGUAGCGGUGAAAUGCGCAGAGAUGUGGAGGAACACCAGUGGCGAAGGCGACUUUCUGGUCUGUAACUGACGCUGAUGUGCGAAAGCGUGGGGAUCAAACAGGAUUAGAUACCCUGGUAGUCCACGCCGUAAACGAUGAGUGCUAAGUGUUAGGGGGUUUCCGCCCCUUAGUGCUGCAGCUAACGCAUUAAGCACUCCGCCUGGGGAGUACGACCGCAAGGUUGAAACUCAAAGGAAUUGACGGGGGCCCGCACAAGCGGUGGAGCAUGUGGUUUAAUUCGAAGCAGCGCGAAGAACCUUACCAAAUCUUGACAUCCUUUGACAACUCUAGAGAUAGAGCCUUCCCCUUCGGGGGACAAAGUGACAGGUGGUGCAUGGUUGUCGUCAGCUCGUGUCGUGAGAUGUUGGGUUAAGUCCCGCAACGAGCGCAACCCUUAAGCUUAGAUGCCAUCAUUAAGUUGGGCACUCUAAGUUGACUGCCGGUGACAAACCGGAGGAAGGUGGGGAUGACGUCAAAUCAUCAUGCCCCUUAUGAUUUGGGCUACACACGUGCUACAAUGGACAAUACAAAGGGCAGCGAAACCGCGAGGUCAAGCAAAUCCCAUAAAGUUGUUCUCAGUUCGGAUUGUAGUCUGCAACUCGACUACAUGAAGCUGGAAUCGCUAGUAAUCGUAGAUCAGCAUGCUACGGUGAAUACGUUCCCGGGUCU